Molecule: non-coding RNA, 2445 nt
Organism: Mus caroli (Ryukyu mouse)
Lineage: Eukaryota; Metazoa; Chordata; Mammalia; Rodentia; Muridae
Source: RefSeq, a predicted model, not a curated record
GUAGGCUGUUCGCCACACUUGGGAACAGAAGCAUGGCGUGCGAGCUGCGAGCUGUGUUGCUGUGGGGCCGCGCGCUGCAGACUGUACUGCGGGCGCCCGCGCUGGCUGGAGUCUGGCGAGGAAAGCCAGUUCUGCACCUUCAGAAGACUACAGUGCAGUUUAGGGGCCCCACACAAAGUCUGGCUUCAGGGAUCUCUGCAGGAAAGUUAUACAGCACACAGGCAGCUGAGGACAAGGAGGAGGAGAGCCUGCACUCCAUCAUCAGCAACACUGAGGCAGUGCGGGGUUCUGUCUCCAAACAUGAGUUCCAGGCAGAGACAAAGAAACUUUUGGACAUCGUAGCCCGUUCUCUGUACUCAGAAAAAGAGGUGUUCAUACGAGAGCUCAUCUCCAACGCCAGUGAUGCCUUGGAGAAACUGCGGCACAAGCUGGUGUGUGAAGGCCAGGUGUUGCCAGAAAUGGAGAUUCACCUUCAGACGGAUGCCAAGAAGGGCACUAUUACCAUUCAGGACACUGGCAUUGGGAUGACACAGGAGGAACUGGUGUCCAACCUUGGCACAAUCGCCAGAUCGGGGUCAAAGGCCUUCCUAGAAGCACUGCAGAACCAGGCAGAGACCAGCAGCAAGAUCAUUGGCCAGUUUGGAGUGGGUUUCUAUUCAGCCUUCAUGGUAGCUGACAAAGUUGAAGUCUAUUCUCGCUCAGCAGCUCCAGAGAGCCCAGGUUACCAGUGGCUUUCAGAUGGUUCUGGAGUGUUUGAAAUUGCGGAAGCUUCAGGAGUUAGACCUGGGACCAAAAUAAUCAUCCACCUCAAGUCAGACUGUAAAGAUUUUGCCAGCGAGUCCCGGGUGCAAGAUGUGGUAACAAAGUACAGUAACUUUGUCAGCUUCCCCUUGUACCUUAAUGGAAGGCGGAUUAACACUUUGCAGGCCAUCUGGAUGAUGGACCCAAAGGACAUCAGUGAGCUUCAGCAUGAGGAAUUCUACCGUUAUAUCGCGCAGGCUUAUGAUAAGGCCCGUUUCACUUUGCACUACAAGACGGACGCACCACUCAACAUCCGCAGCAUCUUCUAUGUGCCAGAAAUGAAACCAUCCAUGUUUGAUGUGAGCAGGGAGCUGGGCUCCAGUGUGGCACUGUAUAGCCGCAAGGUCCUCAUCCAGACCAAGGCUGCAGACAUCCUGCCCAAGUGGCUGCGCUUCAUUCGAGGUGUGGUGGACAGUGAGGACAUUCCCCUGAACCUCAGCAGAGAGCUCCUGCAGGAGAGUGCGCUCAUCCGGAAACUCCGGGAUGUUCUACAACAGAGAUUGAUCAAGUUCUUCAUUGACCAGAGUAAAAAAGAUGCUGAAAAAUACGCAAAGUUUUUUGAAGAUUAUGGCUUGUUCGUGAGGGAGGGCAUUGUGACCACCGCAGAGCAAGACAUCAAGGAGGAUAUUGCAAAGCUGCUACGGUAUGAGUCCUCAGCCCUGCCUGCUGGGCAGCUGACCAGCUUACCAGACUAUGCCAGUCGAAUGCAGGCUGGCACCCGCAACAUCUAUUACCUGUGUGCCCCUAACCGUCACCUGGCUGAACACUCACCCUAUUACGAAGCCAUGAAGCAGAAACAUACUGAGGUGCUCUUCUGCUAUGAGCAGUUCGAUGAGCUUACUCUGCUGCACCUGAGGGAGUUUGACAAGAAGAAGCUGAUCUCUGUGGAAACAGACAUUGUCGUUGAUCACUACAAGGAGGAAAAGUUUGAGGACACAUCUCCAGCUGAUGAGCGCCUCUCGGAGAAGGAAACAGAAGAUCUAAUGGCAUGGAUGAGAAAUGCACUGGGGUCCCGUGUCACCAAUGUGAAGGUGACUUUCCGCCUAGACACCCACCCUGCCAUGGUGACCGUGCUGGAGAUGGGGGCUGCUCGGCAUUUCUUGCGCAUGCAGCAGCUGGCCAAGACCCAGGAGGAACGUGCUCAGCUGCUACAGCCCACACUGGAGAUCAACCCCAGGUAGGCCUGGGCUCCAGCACAGACCUGUCAGGGGCUCCUGCAGUUGUGAGCAUAGGAUCUUCUGUCUGGAGAACAUCUAAGCGUGUUUGUAAAGUUUCUAUGCCGUCCGUGUCAGGAUGUUCUACAAGGCCCUUGGAAUUAACAGAAGUUAAAAGGCACACACUGAUAAAGAAGCUCUGCCAGCUGAGGGAGAGCGAGCCGGAGCUGGCCCAGCUGCUCGUGGAUCAGAUCUAUGAGAAUGCCAUGAUAGCAGCAGGACUCGUUGAUGACCCCCGGGCCAUGGUCGGCCGCCUGAACGACCUUUUGGUCAAGGUCCUGGAGAAACACUGACAGCCAAGACUUAGUGUCAACCCAGGUCUUCUCAGCUGAUAAUGGACGUGCCUGGGGAGGCAGGACUUAAUACACAAACAGUGCCACCAACUGCUUGAGCUCAGCUUUAUUUACUUCAAUUAAACAGUAUUUCUUAG